Molecule: RNA transcript, 1919 nt
Organism: Hibiscus syriacus
Lineage: Eukaryota; Viridiplantae; Streptophyta; Magnoliopsida; Malvales; Malvaceae
Gene name: transcription initiation factor TFIID subunit 15b-like
Exons: 7
Source: RefSeq, a predicted model, not a curated record
CCCGUUCUGAAACGAGAGAAAAAAAAGGAAAACAAAGGGUCCUAGUUACACUGUUGAAGGAUGUACGGUCAAGACGGAUACGAAGCUGCCCCGCCUUCUCGUGGUGGUGGAUAUGGCGGCUCUGGAGGCUAUAGUGGAGGCGGUUACGGUGGACGCGGUCGAGAUGGAGGUCACGGGGGCCGUGGAGGCGCCAGAGGAGGAUACGGUGGUGGUUCUCAAAAUCGAGGCUUUUGUUCUUUUAAUGAAUGGGAUCUUGAUGUUGCUGGAGGCGGGGGAGGCUAUCAAGGAGAGCGCGGUGGAAGAGGUGGUGGCCGUGGUGGCGGAGGCCGAGAUGGUGAUUGGCUUUGCCCUAACUCCAGCUGUAGGAACUUGAACUUUGCAAGAAGAGUUGAAUGUAACAAAUGCGGUGCACCCUCUCCUGUGGGUGCUGGUGAACGUGGUAACGGUAGUACUAGUGGUGGUUCUAGCAGAGGAAGUAGUGGUGGUGGCUAUGAUGGUAAUCGCGGAGGUAGAGGAGAUGGGGGUAGAGGUGGUUUUGAUAGUGGGAGGAAUAACAACUAUGAUGGAGGCAGAAGUGGAAAUCAUGAUAACAGAAGUGGUGGUAGUAGAGGUGGCUCUUAUGGAGGUAGUCAAGGAGUGGAAGAUGGUGGCUACGGUCAAGUUCCUCCUCCAGCGUCCAGUUCUUAUGGUGGAAAUUAUCCACCUGCUCCUAAUGCAUAUGGUGGAAAUGGAAAUUAUGGAAUGGAAGCUGUUCCUCCACCUACAAGCUAUACUGGUGGAUCCACAUCAUACCCUCCAUCUUAUGGUGGCCCUGAAGGUGGUUAUGGUGGUGAGGGUUUGAGGGAUGUGAGGACUGGUGGUCGAGGUGGAGCUCCUGGUGGAUAUGGUUCUGUUGGUCCUCGAAAUCAAGGAGGUGGUUAUGGUGAUUCUACUGUUGAUGCAUCGGUUAAGAUCAAGCAGUGUGACGGAAACUGUGGUGAUUCUUGUGACAACUCAAGAAUAUACAUAUCAAAUUUGCCACCUGAUGUUACUAUUGAAGAAUUAAGAGACCUUUUUGGCGGCAUUGGACAAGUUGGGAGAAUUAAGCAGAAGCGUGGUUAUAAAGAUCAAUGGCCCUGGAAUAUAAAAAUAUACACAGAUGAGGAAGGAAACCAGAAAGGCGAUGCAGUUUUGUCUUAUGAAGAUCCCCAGGCUGCUCACUCUGCUGGCAGUUUCUUUAAUAAUCACUCCAUGAGAGGCUAUACAAUCAACGUGGCUAUGGCAGAGAAGACUGCACCCAAAAUAUUUGAUCAUGGAGGUGGUAGAGGUGGCUACAGAGGUGGUGGAAACCGGCGCAGGGAUAGUUACAGCGAUGGGGGUUCUGGGCCAGAUAGGCACAACCAUGGUGGAAAUCGUUCGCGCCCGUAUUGAGGGACUUCAAGCUUCAAGUAUUUUAUGUACUAAGAAUUGUGCUCUAAGGGUUCUAGUUGUGUUGCAUUGAUGGGAUUGUUCUUGAACAGGAGACUAAGAGGUAGGUUGUUCACUUGUCUGGGCAAUACCCCUUUCCUCUCCUUUCUCCUGUCUGCUGUUAGCUAGGUUUUUUUCUUCCUCAGUUCCUUGUCGUUGGAUUGAAUCAAAUUUGUGAAUCUUUUUAUAGAGGCAAGUGGAUUAACUCCAAAUUGCUUGCUGCUAAAGUAGGUUGAUAAUUUCAGGCCUGCUUUAGUGUUAGCAAAUCAAAAGAUGGUUGGGCACGAUGAGUGUCAUGGUGGCAGGCAGCAAUCAUAUUCUUGGGAGUAUGGAAUGCAGAACAACGGCUGGAGGGUUGUGUUCUGCCAUACUUUAUGAUCUGGUUUGUUGUUACGUGGAACUAUGGAUUCCAGCACCUUGAUGCUGCAUGUUAUUCUAUUUGAUCGAUUUUGUGAUGAAUGAAAGCUAAGAUU